GAUGAACGCUGGCGGCGUGCCUAAUACAUGCAAGUCGAGCGAACAGACGAGGAGCUUGCUCCUCUGACGUUAGCGGCGGACGGGUGAGUAACACGUGGAUAACCUACCUAUAAGACUGGGAUAACUUCGGGAAACCGGAGCUAAUACCGGAUAAUAUAUUGAACCGCAUGGUUCAAUAGUGAAAGACGGUUUUGCUGUCACUUAUAGAUGGAUCCGCGCCGCAUUAGCUAGUUGGUAAGGUAACGGCUUACCAAGGCAACGAUGCGUGGCCGACCUGAGAGGGUGAUCGGCCACACUGGAACUGAGACACGGUCCAGACUCCUACGGGAGGCAGCAGUAGGGAAUCGUCCGCAAUGGGCGAAAGCCUGACGGAGCAACGCCGCGUGAGUGAUGAAGGUCUUCGGAUCGUAAAACUCUGUUAUUAGGGAAGAACAAAUGUGUAAGUAACUAUGCACGUCUUGACGGUACCUAAUCAGAAAGCCACGGCUAACUACGUG
RNAcentral lists this ribosomal RNA (497 nucleotides) under uncultured bacterium. RNAcentral describes it as "partial 16S ribosomal RNA". It matches the Rfam family "Bacterial small subunit ribosomal RNA", at positions 28 to 507 of the family's 1533-position model. The record is from RNAcentral.